CCUACGGGUGGCAGCAGUAGGGAAUCUUCCACAAUGGGCGAAAGCCUGAUGGAGCAACGCCGCGUGGGUGAAGAAGGUCUUCGGAUCGUAAAACCCUGUUGUUAGGGAAGAAAGUGCGUGAGAGUAACUGUUCACGUCCCGACGCUACCUAACCAGAACGCCACGGCUAACUACGUGCCAGCAGCCGCGGUAAUACGUAGGUGGCAAGCGUUAUCCGGAUUUAGUGGGCGUAAAGGGAACGCAGGUGGUCUUUUAAGUCUGAUGUGAAAGCCUUCGGCUUAACCGGAGUAGCGCAUUGGAGACUGGGAGACUUGAGUGCAGGAGAGGGGAGUGGAACUCCAGGUGUAGCGGUGAAAUGCGUAGAUAUAUGGAGGAACACCAGUGGCGAAGGCGGCUCUCUGGUCUGUAACUGACGCUGAGGUUCGAAAGCGUGGGUAGCAAACAGGAUUAGAUACCCUGGUAGUC
This 465-nucleotide ribosomal RNA is filed under the name uncultured bacterium. Its description in RNAcentral is "partial 16S ribosomal RNA". It matches the Rfam family "Bacterial small subunit ribosomal RNA", at positions 338 to 795 of the family's 1533-position model. The record is from RNAcentral.